CAUAAAUAAAUAAAAAAAAAAAAAAAAAAAUACAUAAAAAAGACAAUAAAAUAAAAAAUAGUAAUACUCAAGUAUUAUAUGAUUUUGUUAAAAAAGAAGCAGAUGCUGUUCCUGCUCAAGAAAUUUGGUGAAAAAUUAGUAGACGCUGUACCUACUACAUAUUAAUACAGAUAGAAAUAAUUGACAAAAGAUCGGGUUAAUAUAUUGAGCGUUUCAUGUUGAAAGUUGCGGGCUUUAAGAAGCGUGACUGGGACCAUAUGGAACGCCUUCAUUAGCGCGUGAGUGUUAGUUUAAAAUAAAUGAGUAGCUUAAAAGUGUGAACGGGGGUCCUUAGGUAUAAUCGAAGGCGGACCGGGAGCGGUAUCUCGCGGGUGGGCAGCGACCCAAUGCUUGUGUACAUGGCUUAUUCGUGUCUUGUCUGGGGUAAAAGAAAACAAAUAAAAAGGGGUAUACAUAGCAGUAUAAACUAUACGUUUGAGGGAAGUGAGUCUGUGGCCAAUAAAUGGGAGAGAGUAUGCGUGUGUAUGUGUGCUUCUUCCAGGGACUGAGUGUGUCUGACUUUGUGAUUGUGUAUGCGCGACUGACAGAGAGAAAAAGAAAAGGGUCUACGAGUGUCUGUUACAGGGAUUAAAAGUGUACCUGUGAGUGUGAAAGUGUGCGUGUCCAGUUUUCCUGAGAGAGAAACAGAAAAUGUGUUAUUUUGUGUGGCGGACAGAAAGAAUGUGUGUGUGGCAGUGAGUGAGAAAGUGUAUGGCAGCGAAUUAAAGAGUGUGUGUAAGACAGAGUGCGUGAAACAGAAGUGUGUGUGUAUGUGUUGGAAACUGUGUGUGAGCGGAGCUCCGGUGAGCAGUGUGAUUGGUUGAGUGUACGAAAUCUUGUGUGACAACGAAAUAGGAAUGGAUGAGUCCCACUGCAGGGGAGGAGUCCAAGGUGAAGUAGGGAAAUAGAGUAAUACACAGUGAAAAUGGGGGACAGAGGUGAACAGGGGGAAAAUGCUUUUGUAUGGGUAGAUAGAUAUAUCUAUAUAAGAAAAUAUAAGGAUAAAAAAACCUAACUAUACAAGGUAAAGAUCUAUCUGUAAACGGAGCAGUGCAGUAGAUAUUACUAAUGGUCAUAAAUAAUUAAAUAAUUAACAGAGUAAAGUAACUGAUGUGACAUAGAAAUAUAAUAUAAUAUAA
Molecule: long non-coding RNA, 1178 nt
Organism: Astyanax mexicanus (Mexican tetra)
Lineage: Eukaryota; Metazoa; Chordata; Actinopteri; Characiformes; Acestrorhamphidae
Exons: 2
Source: RefSeq, a predicted model, not a curated record